GAAGUCAUGGACGAAUAUCUUGAGUAUCUUCUUCCAGACGCCUUUCAUACACUCCUUGGUGACAUCACCCCAAGCUCAAGCAAGGUUCUUGAUGCAGUCAUAGAUGUUGUAAUCCUCCCAGAAUUGCAUCAGUGUCUUCCUCAGUUGCAGCAAUAGACUGGGCAAGGUCCUCCUCAGGUAGUAGACCUUAAAAGCUGCUGUAACUUCUUGAUCCAUUGAUUGGACCAAAGAGGUGGUGUUUGGAGGAAGAAACACUGCUUUGAUAUUGGGAUGAAGAUCACCAAUAAAAGAAGGAUGUCUGGGAGCAUUAUCAACAACAAGCAAAAUCUUGAAAGGUCGUUAAAAGUUUCUCCAUGUCUGACAUGGGCUCUUGAAUCUUCCUAGUCUCAUUGCCUCCAAGGAAGCAGAUCCUCUGACAGCUCCCACCACUUUGUUCUUGUUCUUCAAGAUCACAGCUGUGGCGGAAUGGGACAUGCCCGACUGAUUCACUCUCCACCCUUCUCCGCUC
RNAcentral lists this long non-coding RNA (508 nucleotides) under Equus caballus (horse). RNAcentral's name for it is "lncRNA (ENSECAG00000053516.1)". The record is from RNAcentral. Lineage: Eukaryota; Metazoa; Chordata; Mammalia; Perissodactyla; Equidae.